AACCAGCACCUCAAGUGGUCAGGAUGAUUAUUGGGCCUAAAGCAUCCGUAGCCGGCUCUGUAAGUUUUCGGUUAAAUCUGUACGCUCAACGUACAGGCUGCCGGGAAUACUGCAGAGCUAGGGAGUGGGAGAGGUAGACGGUACUCGGUAGGAAGGGGUAAAAUCCUUUGAUCUAUUGAUGACCACCAGUGGCGAAGGCGACUCUCUGGGCCAAUACUGACGCUGAGGUUCGAAAGCGUGGGGAGCGAACGGG
RNAcentral lists this ribosomal RNA (253 nucleotides) under uncultured archaeon. RNAcentral describes it as "partial 16S ribosomal RNA". It matches the Rfam family "Archaeal small subunit ribosomal RNA", at positions 474 to 727 of the family's 1478-position model. The record is from RNAcentral.